RNAcentral lists this transfer RNA (72 nucleotides) under Candidatus Rokuibacteriota bacterium. RNAcentral's name for it is "Candidatus Rokubacteria bacterium tRNA-Met". Lineage: Bacteria; Candidatus Rokuibacteriota. The record is from RNAcentral.
GCCCGCGAUCAGCCGAGACCACUCGGCCGACUCAUAAUCCGUGUGUCCCUGGUUCGAGUCCAGGCGGGCCCA